Molecule: long non-coding RNA, 1484 nt
Filed under: Pogona vitticeps (central bearded dragon)
Lineage: Eukaryota; Metazoa; Chordata; Lepidosauria; Squamata; Agamidae
Description: lncRNA (ENSPVIG00000021076.1)
Source: RNAcentral
GACUCUGUUCCCGAAAACCCUAAAGGAGCUGUGGUUUUUUACAUGGGGGGGGGGAUCACCCUCACCCUACCCUGCAAGAUCCCAAUAAUUAAAAAUGUGGAAAAGAAUGCCCUCUAAUCACUUCAGAGUCAUAUUCUCUCCCCCUCUUCCUCUCUGCACCGAUUUUGGCCAUUUCCAGUCCUGGCUUGGCCCGUGGGAAGUGCUGGGAGCCAAAAUGUGCCCCCCUCCUGACCCCCCAGCCCAGCGAAGUUGUGCAGGACCCCCUGGAGCAGCGAGAAGGGUCCCCGAAGGGCCGGCAAGUGGGGGGGAGAACCAUCUUCCCAGAAGGAAGCCUCCAUCGCGAGCCGGCUUGGAGGAGGGUUACCAUAGAGACGGGAGGCAGCCAUCGGAGGCAGGGGCACCAAGAGGGCACAUCCGUGUUUCACGGUUGCCAUGGGGAUGGAGGGAGGAGGCGGUGGCGUGGCGGCUCCAGGAGGGAGACUGAUCCUGCUGCUGCGUCUUAGGAAGCUUGGAAUGUGAACCCAAAGGAAUGAAUGAAUGUACACAACUCAUUCCUCACUAUAUUCUGCAUUUCCCAAGAUUUUAGCUCUUUUGCAAUUCUGGUGCCCCCCCCUCCCCGAAUCCGAGCGCCAGGAUCUCAUGCCUUCUGGAGCACAGCUUUGAAGAUUAAAAUGGUGUUUUCUUCAGCACAAUCAGUUUGCAAUUGUUUUCACUGUUAGCUGUGUUCAGUUGCUGUUGGUAGCUGUUGGUGGCUAGAGGGUUUUUUUUUUUGAAGCAAAAUUAUAGCUGAUUAGAUAAUGGAACCUUUUCAGACAAAUGUGUUUUUGAGAGCUGUGAGCAUCUUGAAACUAAUUACCUACUUGGUCACCCUGUGAAUGAUUGGCAUUCAGAGCAGGAGGUCUCUACAGGCCUGCCGCUGGGUACGGGCAAAGGAUGAACGGAAGCUAAGUGGUCGUUUCUCUUCCGCCGUCUUUCCCCCCACCCACCCCUCACCCCAUGACUGGGACAACAGGACCCAUUUCGGGCUGUUGCUCCCCUUGCAAAUCCAUUUCCUGUGUCUACCGUGUAUAAAGCCUGUGGUUUAGCUCCCCUCUAAUAUGUCGGAAGAACUGAAGGCAUCCACGAAAGCUCACGCUGGAUGAAAUUCAGAAGUAAGAUGGAUAUCUGUAUUUAUUUAAAAUAUUUUUACCCCACCCUUUUCCCUAAAAAAGACCCAAGAUGGCUUACAUUAUUAAAAGAAACCAUUUAACACUAAGAAGUGAGUCAACAUGGCUAUAAGCUCCACAGUGACUUGUUACUGAAUAUUGGCCAUUAAAACGGAAUGGUAUGGUAUAUGCAUAAUGCUGGCUUGAUAGCUGAGUGGUUUAGGUACGUGGCUGUGGGGCCAGAGACUGGAGGUUCAAUUCCCCACUGUAACCCCUGGGAGAAGAGCCAGCCUGUGUAGCCUUGGCCAAACUGCAGAAACCACUCAGAGGUUGUUUCCU